GAUGAACGCUGGCGGUGUGCCUAAUACAUGCAAGUCGAACGGACUCUUGUAAUUUUCAGGCACUAAUACCUUUGGGGAUUAGUAAAUGAAAAUUGCCAGAGUUAGUGGCGGACGGGUGAGUAACACGUUGGUACCUGCCCCGAAGUGGGAAUAACUGCCCGAAAGGGUAGCUAAUACCGCAUAUUGCCGAAAGGUGAAAGCAGUAAUGCGCUUCGGGAGGGGCCUGCGUCCCAUCAGCAGUUGGUAGGUAAUGGCCUACCAAGGCGACGAUGGGUAGCUGGAUCGAGAGGUUGACCAGCCACACUGGGACUGAGAUACGGCCCAGACUCCUACGGGAGGCAGCAGUAAGGAAUCUUCCACAAUGGACGAAAGUCUGAUGGAGCAAC
Molecule: ribosomal RNA, 386 nt
Filed under: uncultured bacterium
Lineage: Bacteria
Description: bacterial SSU rRNA
Rfam family: Bacterial small subunit ribosomal RNA
Source: RNAcentral